ACUCCUACGGGAGGCAUCAGUGGGGAAUAUUGGACAAUGGGCGAAAGCCUGAUCCAGCCAUGCCGCGUGUGUGAAGAAGGUCUUCGGAUUGUAAAGCACUUUAAGUUGGGAGGAAGGGCAGUAAGUUAAUACCUUGCUGUUUUGACGUUACCAACAGAAUAAGCACCGGCUAACUUCGUGCCAGCAGCCGCGGGAAU
This 197-nucleotide ribosomal RNA is filed under the name uncultured bacterium. RNAcentral describes it as "partial 16S ribosomal RNA". It matches the Rfam family "Bacterial small subunit ribosomal RNA", at positions 335 to 524 of the family's 1533-position model. The record is from RNAcentral.